RNAcentral lists this ribosomal RNA (499 nucleotides) under uncultured bacterium. RNAcentral describes it as "partial 16S ribosomal RNA". It matches the Rfam family "Bacterial small subunit ribosomal RNA", at positions 899 to 1397 of the family's 1533-position model. The record is from RNAcentral.
ACUCAAAGGAAUUGACGGGGGCCCGCACAAGCGGUGGAGCAUGUGGUUUAAUUCGACGCAACGCGAAGAACCUUACCUACCCUUGACAUCCUAGGGAUCUUACAGAGAUGUAGGAGUGCCGAAAGGAACCUAGAGACAGGUGCUGCAUGGCUGUCGUCAGCUCGUGUUGUGAGAUGUUGGGUUAAGUCCCGUAACGAGCGCAACCCUUGUCCUUAGUUGCCAGCACGUAAAGGUGGGGACUCUAAGGAGACUGCCGGUGAAGAACCGGAGGAAGGUGGGGACGACGUCAAGUCAUCAUGGCCUUUAUGGGUAGGGCUACACACGUGCUACAAUGGUCGGUACAGAGGGAAGCGAAACUGCGAAGUGGAGCCGAUCCCGGAAAGCCGAUCGUAGUCCGGAUUGAAGUCUGCAACUCGACUUCAUGAAGUCGGAAUCGCUAGUAAUCGCGAAUCAGAAUGUCGCGGUGAAUACGUUCCCGGGCCUUGUACACACCGCCCGU